UUCGCAAUGCCCGAAAGGGUGACGAUGCGACGCCGCGUGAGCGAAGAAGGCCCUAGGGUUGUAAAGCUCUGUCGAGGGUUAUGAAAUAUAGAUGGGUUAAUACCCCAUUUAUUUGACAAAAGCCCAAAAGGAAGCCACGGCUAACUCUGUGCCAGCAGCCGCGGUAAUACAGAGGUGGCGAGCGUUGUUCGGUAUUAUUGGGCGUAAAGAGCACGUAGGUGGUUUUGUAAGUCAGGUGUGAAAGCCUUCUGUUCAAAGGAAGAACGGCAUCUGAAACUGCAGAUCUUGAGUGUAGGAGGGGAGAGUGGAACUUCUGGUGGAGCGGUGAAAUGCGUAGAUAUCAGAAGGAACGUCGGCGGCGAAAGCGACUCUCUGGCCUAUUACUGACACUGAGUGUGCGAAAGUUAGGGGAACAAACGGGAUUAGAUACCCCGGUAGUCCUAACCGUAAACGAUGGGCACUAAGUAGAGGGGUUUU
Molecule: ribosomal RNA, 477 nt
Filed under: Candidatus Scalindua wagneri
Lineage: Bacteria; Pseudomonadati; Planctomycetota; Candidatus Brocadiia; Candidatus Brocadiales; Candidatus Scalinduaceae
Description: bacterial SSU rRNA
Rfam family: Bacterial small subunit ribosomal RNA
Source: RNAcentral